GAGUAAUGUCUGGGAAACUGCCUGAUGGAGGGGGAUAACUACUGGAAACGGUGGCUAAUACCGCAUAACGUCGCAAGACCAAAGAGGGGGACCUUCGGGCCUCUUGCCAUCAGAUGUGCCCAGAUGGGAUUAGCUUGUUGGUGAGGUAACGGCUCACCAAGGCGACGAUCCCUAGCUGGUCUGAGAGGAUGACCAGCCACACUGGAACUGAGACACGGUCCAGACUCCUACGGGAGGCAGCAGUGGGGAAUAUUGCACAAUGGGCGCAAGCCUGAUGCAGCCAUGCCGCGUGUAUGAAGAAGGCCUUCGGGUUGUAAAGUACUUUCAGCGGGGAGGAAGGUGUUGUGGUUAAUAACCACAGCAAUUGACGUUACCCGCAGAAGAAGCACCGGCUAACUCCGUGCCAGCAGCCGCGGUAAUACGGAGGGUGCAAGCGUUAAUCGGAAUUACUGGGCGUAAAGCGCACGCAGGCGGUCUGUCAAGUCGGAUGUGAAAUCCCCGGGCUCAACCUGGGAACUGCAUUCGAAACUGGCAGGCUUGAGUCUUGUAGAGGGGGGUAGAAUUCCAGGUGUAGCGGUGAAAUGCGUAGAGAUCUGGAGGAAUACCGGUGGCGAAGGCGGCCCCCUGGACAAAGACUGACGCUCAGGUGCGAAAGCGUGGGGAGCAAACAGGAUUAGAUACCCUGGUAGUCCACGCCGUAAACGAUGUCUACUUGGAGGUUGUGCCCUUGAGGCGUGGCUUCCGGAGCUAACGCGUUAAGUAGACCGCCUGGGGAGUACGGCCGCAAGGUUAAAACUCAAAUGAAUUGACGGGGGCCCGCACAAGCGGUGGAGCAUGUGGUUUAAUUCGAUGCAACGCGAAGAACCUUACCUGGUCUUGACAUCCACAGAACUUUCCAGAGAUGGAUUGGUGCCUUCGGGAACUGUGAGACAGGUGCUGCAUGGCUGUCGUCAGCUCGUGUUGUGAAAUGUUGGGUUAAGUCCCGCAACGAGCGCAACCCUUAUCCUUUGUUGCCAGCGGUUAGGCCGGGAACUCAAAGGAGACUGCCA
RNAcentral lists this ribosomal RNA (1049 nucleotides) under Salmonella enterica subsp. enterica serovar Heidelberg. RNAcentral's name for it is "bacterial SSU rRNA". It matches the Rfam family "Bacterial small subunit ribosomal RNA", at positions 108 to 1154 of the family's 1533-position model. Lineage: Bacteria; Pseudomonadati; Pseudomonadota; Gammaproteobacteria; Enterobacterales; Enterobacteriaceae. The record is from RNAcentral.